AUGAACGCAAGUGAAUUCCGAAGGAGAGGGAAGGAGAUGGUGGAUUACAUGGCCAACUACAUGGAAGGCAUUGAGGGACGCCAGGUCUACCCUGACGUGGAGCCCGGGUACCUGCGGCCGCUGAUCCCUGCCGCUGCCCCUCAGGAGCCAGACACGUUUGAGGACAUCAUCAACGACGUUGAGAAGAUAAUCAUGCCUGGGGUGACGCACUGGCACAGCCCCUACUUCUUCGCCUACUUCCCCACUGCCAGCUCGUACCCGGCCAUGCUUGCGGACAUGCUGUGCGGGGCCAUUGGCUGCAUCGGCUUCUCCUGGGCGGCAAGCCCAGCAUGCACAGAGCUGGAGACUGUGAUGAUGGACUGGCUCGGGAAGAUGCUGGAACUACCAAAGGCAUUUUUGAAUGAGAAAGCUGGAGAAGGGGGAGGAGUGAUCCAGGGAAGUGCCAGUGAAGCCACCCUGGUGGCCCUGCUGGCCGCUCGGACCAAAGUGAUCCAUCGGCUGCAGGCAGCGUCCCCAGAGCUCACACAGGCCGCUAUCAUGGAGAAGCUGGUGGCUUACUCAUCCGAUCAGGCACACUCCUCAGUGGAAAGAGCUGGGUUAAUUGGUGGAGUGAAAUUAAAAGCCAUCCCCUCAGAUGGCAACUUCGCCAUGCGUGCGUCUGCCCUGCAGGAAGCCCUGGAGAGAGACAAAGCGGCUGGCCUGAUUCCUUUCUUUUCAAUUCCACAGUGUAAUGUGGAAGAACUGACAUGGCUCAAAGUUAGCACGCAGAGCAAGGUGACAGCCAAGACAUUUUGAAGGAUGCAAAAAGAGUCUGCCAGUGGAUCAAGGUGUACCUGCCAUCUUAUCCCAAAAGUCUUAUCUUUCUCCGUUGCGUUCAUCUCCACAGGCCAUACAGAUGGUUGCCACCCUGGGGACCACAACAUGCUGCUCCUUUGACAAUCUCUUAGAAGUCGGUCCUAUCUGCAACAAGGAAGACAUAUGGCUGCACGUUGAUGCAGCCUACGCAGGCAGUGCAUUCAUCUGCCCUGAGUUCCGGCACCUUCUGAAUGGAGUGGAGUUUGCAGAUUCAUUCAACUUUAAUCCCCACAAAUGGCUAUUGGUGAAUUUUGACUGUUCUGCCAUGUGGGUGAAAAAGAGAACAGACUUAACGGGAGCCUUUAGACUGGACCCCACUUACCUGAAGCACAGCCAUCAGGAUUCAGGGCUUAUCACUGACUACCGGGGUUCCAACAAAGUGAAUGAAGCUCUUCUGCAAAGAAUAAACAGUGCCAAAAAAAUCCACUUGGUUCCAUGUCACCUCAGGGACAAGUUUGUCCUGCGCUUUGCCAUCUGUUCUCGCACGGUGGAAUCUGCCCAUGUGCAGCGGGCCUGGGAACACAUCAAAGAGCUGGCGGCCGACGUGCUGCGAGCAGAGAGGGAGUAGGAGUGAAGCCAGCUGCAGGAAUCAAAAAUUGAAGAGAGAUAUAUCUGAAAACUGGAAUAAGAAGCAAAUAAAUAUCAUCCUGCCUUCAUGGAACUCAGCUGUCUGUGGCUUCCCAUGUCUUUCUCCAAAGUUAUCCAGAGGGUUGUGAUUUUGUCUGCUUAGUAUCUCAUCAACAAAGAAAUAUUAUUUGCUAAUUAAAAAGUUAAUCUUCAUGGCCAUAGCUUUUAUUCAUUAGCUGUGAUUUUUGUUGAUUAAAACAUUAUAGAUUUUCAUGUUCUUGCAGUCAUCAGAAGUGGUAGGAAAGCCUCACUGAUAUAUUUUCCAGGGCAAUCAAUGUUCACGCAACUUGAAAUUAUAUCUGUGGUCUUCAAAUUGUCUUUUGUCAUGUGGCUAAAUGCCUAAUAAACAAUUCAAGUGAAAUACUAA
This 1849-nucleotide unclassified non-coding RNA is filed under the name Homo sapiens (human). RNAcentral's name for it is "aromatic-L-amino-acid decarboxylase transcript variant 44". Lineage: Eukaryota; Metazoa; Chordata; Mammalia; Primates; Hominidae. The record is from RNAcentral.